Molecule: ribosomal RNA, 607 nt
Filed under: uncultured bacterium
Lineage: Bacteria
Description: bacterial SSU rRNA
Rfam family: Bacterial small subunit ribosomal RNA
Source: RNAcentral
GGGAUGGCUCCGCGGCCCAUCAGGUAGACGGCGGGGUGACGGCCCACCGUGCCGACAACGGGUAGCCGGGUUGAGAGACCGACCGGCCAGAUUGGGACUGAGACACGGCCCAGACUCCUACGGGAGGCAGCAGUGGGGAAUCUUGCGCAAUGGGGGGAACCCUGACGCAGCGACGCCGCGUGCGGGACGGAGGCCUUCGGGUCGUAAACCGCUUUCAGCAGGGAAGAGUCAAGACUGUACCUGCAGAAGAAGCCCCGGCUAACUACGUGCCAGCAGCCGCGGUAAUACGUAGGGGGCGAGCGUUAUCCGGAUUCAUUGGGCGUAAAGCGCGCGUAGGCGGCCCGGCAGGCCGGGGGUCGAAGCGGGGGGCUCAACCCCCCGAAGCCCCCGGAACCUCCGCGGCUUGGGUCCGGUAGGGGAGGGUGGAACACCCGGUGUAGCGGUGGAAUGCGCAGAUAUCGGGUGGAACACCGGUGGCGAAGGCGGCCCUCUGGGCCGAGACCGACGCUGAGGCGCGAAAGCUGGGGGAGCGAACAGGAUUAGAUACCCUGGUAGUCCCAGCCGUAAACGAAGGACGCUAGGUGUGGGGGGACGAUCUCCCCGUGCC